This is a long non-coding RNA of Bombyx mori (domestic silkworm), 759 nucleotides long. RefSeq lists it as uncharacterized. The record is from RefSeq and is a predicted model, not a curated record. The transcript is spliced from 2 exons. NCBI's taxonomy places the organism in Eukaryota, Metazoa, Arthropoda, Insecta, Lepidoptera, Bombycidae.
UCACAUCUAUAUGGAUCGCCAUCUUGGCGAAAAAGUUUUAUUUUUGCCAAAACGAGUAGGUACCUCUAUUUCUGCGAGUGUCUUAAUGUGGGACCUCGGGUUCGUAAGUGCAACAACAUUGGCGCCGUCUGAAAUGUAGGGACACAUUACCUUCCGAACUUCAAAGAACCUCUUUACAGGAAAACGGCGAUGAAAAGCCAAUAUUUUCAAGUUAAACGGAAAAAACACACUCAAAAUUGUUUUCUAGUGGAAGUAGCUUCAAAAUUACAUUAAAAUAAUAUGACAUUUUAUUGAUUUACGAAAAAUGUUAGGUUUGUUCAAUCCUCUCUGUUUCUUGCCUCAUACUCGAAAUACUGCUAAUGCUAGUUAAUGAACUCUCACUCCAAAAAAAAAUGACAUUUUAAUCAUCGCUAUUGCAUUUUUUUCGGAUAUACAGAUUAAACUAAUUCAAGAAUCAUUUGGGGCGACCAACUGGUGAUAGCCACCUUAAAAAAUGAGUUCGAAGUUUCAAUUGCAAUUGUUUAAAGACAACACCAUUGUAACUGGCUGUUUCACCCCAGAAAUGGGCCAAUAGUUCGCACAGAGGCAGUUAUGUAAGAAAUAGAUUCACAGGUACAAUUUUUAAAGUAUAUUUUUUUAACACAGAAACAUAAAAUUAAGAAAAAAAAAUCUACUAAAAUUACACACAUUCAUAUUCUUAGUAAACAAUAUUAUGUAGUACUGACGAAAUAUAGAGUACCUACUUUAUAUUAUAUUAAA